AUCUAUAUAUAUAAAAGAAAGUCGUGUUAGUUACUCCACUUAUAACUCAAGAACGGCUGAACCGAUUUAGCUGAAAAUUGUCAGAGAGGUAGUUUAGAGCCAGGAGAAGGACAUAGGAUACUUUUUAUCCCGUUCGAAAUAAAUAAAAAAGUCUGCUUAUUUAUUGCCAUUAAGGCGGAACAAAGUUCGCCGGACCAAUUUUUAUGGUUAUAAAACCAAAUAAAGAUCUCACGUGUCCUCUUUAACAGAUGGAUAGCGAUUAAUCCCAACUUAACAGUUUUAUAGUCAUAAAAAAUGGCUAUAGCGUAACUACCUAUUUUUUGAAGAAGUGACUCUGGAUCCUUCUAAAGACACGUUUUUGGGGUAAAAACCUUUCCUUUAAUGAAAUGAAGGUAAGAACUAGGCUUUUAAAUGGUGCCAAUAUCGGUGGGAAGUGGGGAAGCAUACGUUUGAAAAUGCUUGUCGCGGGAGGUGCGAUUUAUUUGAUGCCGAGUGUAGUUUUAAGUAAAUUAAAAUUUUAUUUCUAACAUUUGCUUCUUUUUUAUCAUUUAUUAGUACAAUAAUAAAAACAUCUUUGUAUGUCUGCUUU
Molecule: long non-coding RNA, 589 nt
Organism: Ostrinia nubilalis (European corn borer)
Lineage: Eukaryota; Metazoa; Arthropoda; Insecta; Lepidoptera; Crambidae
Exons: 2
Source: RefSeq, a predicted model, not a curated record